This is a long non-coding RNA of Bombus impatiens (common eastern bumble bee), 1475 nucleotides long. RefSeq lists it as uncharacterized. The transcript has 3 exons. Lineage: Eukaryota; Metazoa; Arthropoda; Insecta; Hymenoptera; Apidae. The record is from RefSeq and is a predicted model, not a curated record.
CAAGGAGAUGGGAAAACGCGGAGUUUCGACGAUUCGAACAGGGAUCUGUUGGUAUCGAGGUGGAAAGCGAAAAAGUUAUGUCGUGGCGGCGACGGAACGCGAUGCAGGGAAAGAGCAUUGCCGGAACUCAACAGGUUUCUAAUGCUGGCGAGGUUUGAAAAUCGGUAUUCGUUAGAACAGACGGCAGGAAGGAAGGACGAGUGGAACAGGUGCAAGAGAAAAUGGGUUUAAGGUAUCCGUUACAAAGCUCAGCGAGAGUCGACUGUUUGCGAGCCUCGAGUCGCAUCAAGACUGUAUUCUUCGUCGAGGAAAAUUUACGAAUGCUAAGAGCGCGGGUGGUGGCAGGGCGUGAGCGAGCGUAACGAGUUCCUUGGCGCAGGUCUGAUUUAUGCCAGGUCGUAAGGAAAGAAAACGACUCCUCACCUGCCGAGAGCUAUUCGCCGACCGACGGUGUUCCAAUCUAACGACGACCUGUCUUUCUUCUUUCCUUCGCUCUGUGUUUUCCAAGCGAUGUACGUUCGAUCUCGACUGGCCGAUUCUUUUUUCGUUGUCCGUGUGGCGUAGCUACGGUACAAUGACUGUCGUGUUCAUGGCGAGAAGCAUCAAGAAGCAUCGUGAAGCAUCGUGAAGCAUCGCGAAGCAUCGAGAAUCAUCGAACGGGGAAAAUCGUACUCUCGGUUGGAUAUUUCGGAGAGCCGUAACCCGUCACCGACUACACAGGUGUCGUUGGACCGCUCGAGAUAAUAAUGCCGGUAUAACCGUACAACUGUUCGAUGACCCAGGUGGUAGAGGAAUUGUAUAGAAUGACACCGAUACUCCAAAUACGGCCGACGACCAACAGAGUCAUUGUUCACGCUGUAACCGAUACCCUCAGCUUCUGAGAACGGAUCGAUCUUCUCUACCUGUACUUACUUCUGUCCGCGUAAUUGCCUGGCCUUUGCCCGCAUCUUCGUCUUUGUAUCCCGACGCGCCCACGUGAUGCUCGGCAUUCUUCGUCUCACGCUAUUCGUUCGUCGAUUCGCCUCGUCCGUUUUUGGCAAACGACAACGUGGAAAGACACAGCGGUCGAAACUGCAGGGGAGCGCGCGCAAACAAUCGUCUUUAUCGUCGUAACUAUGAAACGAGAUAUUGUUUCAGAUUCUGUCGCUAACCGUAGCUCGUCUCUGCUCGAACGUUUUUUUCGGAAUAUCGGAGAUCGAUGCAGGAUUUAAUAACAAUCAUAAUGGUAAUACGUUUUGUUUAUGAAAACAUAGUAAAUAUCACGUUAUCAUACAUUUGAGUUGAAAUUGUAGUUUUAUUUUUCAAUUAUUUCGUUAAGGAACAGUCUUUUCGUCUAGCGAAACGAAUUCCUGCGGAUGAUCGAUGGUGAUUACGUUGCUUUGUUUUCGUACUUGCUUCUUCUCGGGAUUGUUCCACGGUUGUAACUGACCGCUACCAAAAAUGGUAAACGUAAGUGCGCCAAGACAAUAAAUCCA